GGGUGAGUAACACGUAGGUAAUCUACCUUUGGGUGGGGAAUAACAAUCGGAAACGGUUGCUAAUACCGCAUAAUGCAGCGGCUCGACAUCGAGACAGUUGUUAAAGCGGGGGAACUUCGGUCCUCGCGCCUAAGGAGGAGCCUGCGGCGGAUUAGCUUGUUGGCGGGGUAAUGGCUCACCAAGGCAACGAUCCGUAGCCGGCCUGAGAGGGCGGUCGGCCACACUGACACUGAAUAACGGGUCAGACUCCUACGGGAGGCAGCAGUCGGGAAUUUUGGGCAAUGGGCGAAAGCCUGACCCAGCAACGCCGCGUGAAGGAUGAAAUCCCUCGGGAUGUAAACUUCAGAAGGACAGGAAGAAUAAUCUUAAGAUAAUACCUUUAGUGAUGACGGUACUGUCUUUAAGCUCCGGCUAACUCCGUGCCAGCAGCCGCGGUAAUACGGGGGGAGCAAGCGUUGUUCGGAUUUACUGGGCGUAAAGGGCGCGUAGGCGGCGUGACAAGUCACUUGUGAAAUCUCCGGGCUUAACUCGGAACGGUCAAGUGAUACUGUUGUGCUAGAGUGCAGAAGGGGCAACUGGAAUUCUCGGUGUAGCGGUGAAAUGCGUAGAUAUCGAGAGGAAUACCUGUGGCGAAGGCGGGUUGCUGGGCUGACACUGACGCUGAGGCGCGAAAGCUAGGGGAGCGAACGGGAUUAGAUACCCCGGUAGUCCUAGCCUUAAACGAUGAAUGCUUGGUGUCUGGGGUUUUAUAUUCCCCGGGUGCCGUCGCUAACGCAUUAAGCAUUCCGCCUGGGGAGUACGGUCGCAAGACUGAAACUCAAAGGAAUUGACAGGGACCCGCACAAGCGGUGGAGCAUGUGGUUUAAUUCGACGCAACGCGAAGAACCUUACCUGGACUAGAAUGCCUUCGACAGUCCCGUAACGGGGAUCUCUUGGGUAAAACCAAGCGGAGUGCAAGGUGCUGCAUGGCUGUCGUCAGCUCGUGUCGUGAGAUGUUGGGUUAAGUCCCGCAACGAGCGCAACCCUUAUCAACAGUUGCCAUCAUUAAGUUGGGAACUCUGUUGAGACUGCCGUUGAUAAAACGGAGGGAGGUGGGGAUGACGUCAAGUCCUCAUGGCCUUUAUGUUCAGGGCUACACACGUGCUACAAUGGCUGGUACAAAGCGCAGCAAGCCCGCGAGGGGGAGCCAAUCGCAAAAAACCAGUCUCAGUUCGGAUUGCACUCUGCAACUCGAGUGCAUGAAGCUGGAAUCGCUAGUAAUCGCAAAUCAGCAUGUUGCGGUGAAU
This 1286-nucleotide ribosomal RNA is filed under the name uncultured bacterium. Its description in RNAcentral is "bacterial SSU rRNA". It matches the Rfam family "Bacterial small subunit ribosomal RNA", at positions 104 to 1367 of the family's 1533-position model. The record is from RNAcentral.